Long non-coding RNA from Glycine soja, 1263 nucleotides. RefSeq lists it as uncharacterized. The record is from RefSeq and is a predicted model, not a curated record. NCBI's taxonomy places the organism in Eukaryota, Viridiplantae, Streptophyta, Magnoliopsida, Fabales, Fabaceae. The transcript is spliced from 5 exons.
AACUUUUGGUGUUAUCUUGAUAGAGCAUUUAUUUUAUUUAAUUUUAACUUGCUAAUCACAUUUCUAGUAUGCAUGCUAAAGUGAACAUAAGUAUCAUCACAAGUAUGUUCAGCUUAGCAAUAACAUAAAUAUUGAAAAAUUACAAUGUUUUGUUACAUUUAUGUGGUGCCACUGCCUAGCUACUUGCUAAGAAACUUCUGUGUUUUAACCAACAUGUUAUUUUGCAGAAAAGUUGGCAUCUAAUUUUUUAGCCAUUGAAAUGCCUUCCCUGGCUUGCUGUGGAAAAUGUCUUAAUUUAUGGUUUAAGAAGGAUCUGAUUAAUAUCUGACUAGUUGCACAUUUUACAUACCUUGUUUUCUAUGGUAUUUUAGAGUCCAAAGAAGGUCAACUUGGUUGCUGCUCUGGUUCGUGGUAUGCUUGUUAAAGAUGCAUCGAUGCUGUUGGAAUCGACAAUAAAACGAGCAGCAAAAACUGUAUAUCAGGUUAAAGAGUUCCAUAGAAGAGAUGGUUUUGAGGUAGCAAGUGCUGACAAGAUGGCUAAGUCAUGCAUGGUUUAUUUUGAAAUGCAUCUAUCCCUAAGGAAAAAAAUAAUUACAAAAGCUUUUAAUGGUAGUUAUAGUAUCUACAAGGAAACUUUUUGUAACCAGGUCUAUUGCCUUUUUGUUUGAGUGACUGGACAUGCAGGUACAAUAAUUGUUGUUGAAGAUGACAAGGGACCUGAAAGAGGAAUGCCGAGCUUCAAUUCUGAGUUACCCAAUUCCAAUUCAUGGGUUGAGGAUGUUACAAGAGUUUGGGAUCCUUGCUGACCAGUGACUAGGGUUGAGGAUUUUACCAAGAGUUGAAGACCGUUGCUACUAGAAUGUCAAGGUAAAGAGAAAUGUUGUUAAUUAGUAUCCUUUUAAGGUAAAAAAAAGGAAGAUUUUACCUAUAAGCGGAGCUUCACAAAGGUACGUAGCAUUUAUGAUUUAACUGUUUGUUGGGUUGACUUGGUUUUCUUCAGUUUUGUAGAAGGUACUAAGAUGUAGGCAUGCUAGAUCCUUAUUGCUUGACUGUUGACUAUCCAAGAAUUCUGUUGGAUGGAAAGGCUACUUGUGUGUUACUGAUUUCAUAUGGCUUAUACUCAAUUGGAUGGAAAGGCUACUUAAAAUUUUUUGUUUUUCUACUCUACUCUAGGUCCAUUCUAGGUUUCUCUUUGACUCCUUGUUUGCUUUUGUGUGCUUUUCAUUGCUUUAAUUAUUGAAUAAUCCUUGAAAAUUUGUCUUG